GACGAACGCUGGCGGCGUGCCUAAUACAUGCAAGUAGAACGCUGAAGAGAGGAGCUUGCUCUUCUUGGAUGAGUUGCGAACGGGUGAGUAACGCGUAGGUAACCUGCCUGGUAGCGGGGGAUAACUAUUGGAAACGAUAGCUAAUACCGCAUAAUAUUGACUAUUGCAUGAUAGUUGAUUAAAAGGUGCAAUUGCACCACUACCAGAUGGACCUGCGUUGUAUUAGCUAGUUGGUGGGGUAACGGCUCACCAAGGCGACGAUACAUAGCCGACCUGAGAGGGUGAUCGGCCACACUGGGACUGAGACACGGCCCAGACUCCUACGGGAGGCAGCAGUAGGGAAUCUUCGGCAAUGGACGGAAGUCUGACCGAGCAACGCCGCGUGAGUGAAGAAGGUUUUCGGAUCGUAAAGCUCUGUUGUAAGAGAAGAACGAGUGUGAGAGUGGAAAGUUCACACUGUGAC
Molecule: ribosomal RNA, 463 nt
Filed under: Streptococcus sp. oral taxon 058
Lineage: Bacteria; Bacillati; Bacillota; Bacilli; Lactobacillales; Streptococcaceae
Description: bacterial SSU rRNA
Rfam family: Bacterial small subunit ribosomal RNA
Source: RNAcentral